CCGAAGCCCUAGCUGAUUUUUAGGAAUAUUGCAAGGGUUUGGAUCUUGCUAGAACUUUUCAGUUUCCAACAUUGAGACAGCCACCUCCAUCCUUUCUUGCAACAAUGGAGGAGUAUAUAAAGGAAGCGCCGCAGUCCGGUUCUGUUAACAAGAGACUGGAAUACCAGGAGACAGACCAGCAGCCUCAGAAACCUGAAGAACCUCCUCCUCCUCCAGAGCCUGAAAAACAAGAAGAAGAAGUUGAGGAGAAAACGGAGGAAGAGGAAGA
This is a long non-coding RNA of Prunus dulcis (almond), 268 nucleotides long. RefSeq lists it as uncharacterized. The transcript is spliced from 3 exons. NCBI's taxonomy places the organism in Eukaryota, Viridiplantae, Streptophyta, Magnoliopsida, Rosales, Rosaceae. The record is from RefSeq and is a predicted model, not a curated record.